AGAGUUUGAUCCUGGCUCAGAACGAGCGCUGGCGGCGUGCUUAAUACAUGCAAGUUGAACGAUGAGGCCCUUCGGGGUACAUCAGUGGCGCACGGGUGAGUAACACGUAAGCAAUCUGCCUUUCGGACCGGGAUAACGUUGCGAAAGCGACGCUAAUACGGGAUGACGCGACGAAGCCGCAUGGUUUUGUCGUUAAACGGAGGCUUCUCGCUUCCGCCGGGAGAUGAGCUUGCGGUCCAUUAGCUUGUUGGCGGGGUAACGGCCCACCAAGGCGAAGAUGGAUAGCCGGCCUGAGAGGGUGAACGGCUACACUGGAACUGAGACACGGUCCAGACUCCUACGGGAGGCAGCAGUAGGGAAUAUUGGGCAAUGGGCGCAAGCCUGACCCAGCAACGCCGCGUGAGCGAUGAAGCCUUUCGAGGUGUAAAGCUCUUUUUUGACAGACGAAGAUGGUCGGCACUAACACGGUCGGCGAUUGACGGUAUGUUGCGAAUAAGCCCCGGCUAACUCCGUGCCAGCAGCCGCGGUAAUACGGAGGGGGCGAGCGUUGUUCGGAAUUACUGGGCGUAAAGGGCGCGUAGGCGGCCGUAUAAGUCGAAUGUGUAAGCCCACGGCUCAACCGUGGAAUUGCGUUUGAAACUGUAUGGCUAGAGUGUGGGAGAGGAGAGUGGAAUUCCCAGUGUAGCGGUGAAAUGCGUAGAUAUUGGGAGGAACAUCGGUGGCGAAGGCGGCUCUCUGGAACACAACUGACGCUGAGGCGCGAAAGCGUGGGGAGCAAACAGGAUUAGAUACCCUGGUAGUCCACGCUGUAAACGAUGGGCACUAGGUGUAGCGGGUAUUGACUCCCGCUGUGCCGGAGUUAACGCAUUAAGUGCCCCGCCUGGGGAGUACGUACGCAAGUAUGAAACUCAAAGGAAUUGACGGGGGCCCGCACAAGCGGUGGAGCAUGUGGUUUAAUUCGACGCAACGCGAAGAACCUUACCUGGGUUUGACAUGCGAUGGACGUGCGAUGAAAGUCGUAUUCCUUUCGGGGCCGUCGCACAGGUGCUGCAUGGCUGUCGUCAGCUCGUGUUGUGAGAUGUUGGGUUAAGUCCCGCAACGAGCGCAACCCUUACCCUUAGUUGCCAGCGGGUAGAGCCGGGAACUCUAGGGGAACUGCCGGUGACAAACCGGAGGAAGGCGGGGAUGACGUCAAGUCCUCAUGGCCUUUAUGCCCAGGGCUACACACGUGCUACAAUGGUCGGUACAGAGGGUUGCGAUACCGCGAGGUGGAGCAAAUCCCACAAAACCGAUCUCAGUUCGGAUUGGAGUCUGCAACUCGACUCCAUGAAGUUGGAAUCGCUAGUAAUCGCGGAUCAGCAUGCCGCGGUGAAUACGUUCCCGGGCCUUGUACACACCGCCCGUCACACCACGAAAGUCGAUGGUACUAGAAGCCGGCGGGCCAACCCGCGAGGGGGGCAGUCGUCCAAGGUACGAUUGGUGAUUGGGGUGAAGUCAACAAGGUA
Molecule: ribosomal RNA, 1505 nt
Filed under: metagenome
Description: bacterial SSU rRNA
Rfam family: Bacterial small subunit ribosomal RNA
Source: RNAcentral